AAAAAAAAGAGCAAACAAACACUGCGCGAGCCAAUCCGGGAAAAAAUGCACACGAUUUCUGAAAAACGACAGCAACAACAACCGCAACCGCACUUGGACCGGACCCGCACGCAGCCACGACGCAGUUGGGCACAAAUUGCCCAUGUUAUGUUUAGCGGCGACCUGCUUUAAUCGACGGCUCGUGGCCGACCGACCGCUGUCGGCCGGCCGACUUGCGGCCAGCCGCUACCGCCCGUGCCGGCGCUGUCCGCACCCGUUGCUGGCGGUGGACCAAAAAAUGCGCUUUGGGCGAUCAGUAGACGGAAAAAUCAUUUGUGCGGGGUGGGUUGCGCGGUCAAAACUAUAUAUUUUUAAACUUGCCGAG
RNAcentral lists this long non-coding RNA (364 nucleotides) under Pandoravirus neocaledonia. RNAcentral's name for it is "hypothetical ncRNA". The record is from RNAcentral.